This 223-nucleotide microRNA precursor is filed under the name Solanum tuberosum (potato). RNAcentral's name for it is "mir-166 microRNA precursor family". It matches the Rfam family "mir-166 microRNA precursor family". Rfam says of the family: This family represents the plant microRNA (miRNA) precursor mir-166. The record is from Rfam by way of RNAcentral. Lineage: Eukaryota; Viridiplantae; Streptophyta; Magnoliopsida; Solanales; Solanaceae.
GUUGAGGAGAAUGUUGUCUGGUUCGAAAUCAUUCUAUAGAAAAGUGUGGUUGGAUUCAGUCAUGGGUUUCAAGAUCGUUAAACUUUAUAUAUGUAUGAAAAACAAGUACAAUAUAUAUUUUAGGCCCUAAAAUGUCUAAAUAUAUUCUGAAUCCAUCAUAGAUUAGAUCGUUUGAUCAAUCAAUUUAUUGAGUGAUUUCGGACCAGGCUUCAUUCCCCUCAAC